UACGUAGGGGCCGAGCGUUGUCCGGAGUUAUUGGGCGUAAAGCGCGCGCAGGCGGCCUCGCGCGCCCGACGUGAAAGCCCCCGGCUUAACCGGGGAGGGUCGUUGGGGACGGCGGGGCUUGAGGGCGGGAGAGGGUGGUGGAAUUCCCGGUGUAGUGGUGAAAUGCGUAGAUAUCGAGAGGAACACCUGCGGCGAAGGCGGGUUGCUGGGCCGACACUGACGCUGAUGCGCGAAAGCCAGGGGAGCGAACGGG
RNAcentral lists this ribosomal RNA (253 nucleotides) under uncultured bacterium. RNAcentral's name for it is "partial 16S ribosomal RNA". It matches the Rfam family "Bacterial small subunit ribosomal RNA", at positions 524 to 776 of the family's 1533-position model. The record is from RNAcentral.